CAUCUUCGGGGCAGGGUGUAAUUCCCGACCGGCGGUAAUUAAAGUUGUAGCCUCUGACCAUUUACUUGGAGGACGUUACAGUAAACUUUUCGAGCCCGCGAGCCACUUUUUGUGUGCAGGAUUUGGUGCGAUUCCAAAGCCGACAGUAUAGUCUGGAUGGGAGAAGGUG
RNAcentral lists this non-coding RNA (169 nucleotides) under uncultured Solibacillus sp. RNAcentral describes it as "FMN riboswitch (RFN element)". It matches the Rfam family "FMN riboswitch aptamer (RFN element)". From Rfam's summary of the family: The RFN element is a highly conserved domain that is found frequently in the 5'-untranslated regions of prokaryotic mRNAs that encode for flavin mononucleotide (FMN) biosynthesis and transport proteins. This element is a metabolite-dependent riboswitch that directly binds FMN in the absence of proteins. Lineage: Bacteria; Bacillati; Bacillota; Bacilli; Caryophanales; Caryophanaceae. The record is from RNAcentral.